Molecule: ribosomal RNA, 486 nt
Filed under: uncultured bacterium
Lineage: Bacteria
Description: bacterial SSU rRNA
Rfam family: Bacterial small subunit ribosomal RNA
Source: RNAcentral
AUUGAACGCUGGCGGCAUGCUUUACACAUGCAAGUCGAGCGGCAGCGCGGGGGCAACCCUGGCGGCGAGCGGCGAACGGGUGAGUAAUGCAUCGGAACGUGUCCCGUAGUGGGGGAUAACCCGGCGAAAGCCGGGCUAAUACCGCAUAUGCUCUACGGAGGAAAGGGGGGGAUCCGCAAGGACCUCUCGCUAUGGGAGCGGCCGAUGUCCGAUUAGCUUGUUGGUGGGGUAAUGGCUUACCAAGGCGACGAUCGGUAGCUGGUCUGAGAGGAUGAUCAGCCACACUGGGACUGAGACACGGCCCAGACUCCUACGGGAGGCAGCAGUGGGGAAUUUUGGACAAUGGGGGCAACCCUGAUCCAGCCAUGCCGCGUGCGGGAAGAAGGCCUUCGGGUUGUAAACCGCUUUUAGUCGGGAAGAAAAGGCGCGGCCUAAUACGUCGCGUUCUUGACGGUACCGGCGGAAUAAGCACCGGCUAACUACGUG